AAGCUGCCCUUAAGCUCCGUAGUUGAAUUUCGGGAUCAAUUUAUUGGUCGUGCUAUUGUACGUACUGGUAUUAUUGAUUUCUACCUUCUGACGAACCAUGAUGUCAUUAAUUUGGUGUCUUGGGGAAUCAGGACUGUUACUUUGAAAAAAUUAGAGUGUUUAAAGCAGGCUCACGCUUGAAUACAUUAGCAUGGAAUAACGAAAUAGGACGUUUGAUUCUAUUUUGUUGGUUUCUAGGAUCGACGUAAUGAUUAAUAGGGAUAGUUGGG
Molecule: ribosomal RNA, 269 nt
Filed under: uncultured Glomeromycotina
Lineage: Eukaryota; Fungi; Glomeromycota
Description: partial 18S ribosomal RNA
Rfam family: Eukaryotic small subunit ribosomal RNA
Source: RNAcentral